This 483-nucleotide ribosomal RNA is filed under the name uncultured bacterium. RNAcentral's name for it is "partial 16S ribosomal RNA". It matches the Rfam family "Bacterial small subunit ribosomal RNA", at positions 30 to 507 of the family's 1533-position model. The record is from RNAcentral.
UUGAACGCUGGCGGCAGGCCUAACACAUGCAAGUCGAGCGGAUGAAGGGAGCUUGCUCCUGGAUUCAGCGGCGGACAGGUGAGUAAUGCCUAGGAAUCUGCCUGGUAGUGGGGGAUAACGUCCGGAAACGGGCGCUAAUACCGCAUACGUCCUGAGGGAGAAAGUGGGGGAUCUUCGGACCUCACGCUAUCAGAUGAGCCUAGGUCGGAUUAGCUAGUUGGUGGGGUAAAGGCCUACCAAGGCGACGAUCCGUAACUGGUCUGAGAGGAUGAUCAGUCACACUGGAACUGAGACACGGUCCAGACUCCUACGGGAGGCAGCAGUGGGGAAUAUUGGACAAAGGGCGAAAGCCUGAUCCAGCCAUGCCGCGUGUGUGAAGAAGGUCUUCGGAUUGUAAAGCACUUUAAGUUGGGAGGAAGGGCAGUAAGUUAAUACCUUGCUGUUUUGACGUUACCAACAGAAUAAGCACCGGCUAACUUCGUG